CGUCCUACGGGGGGCAGCAGUGAGGAAUAUUGGUCAAUGGCCGCAGGGCUGAACCAGCCAAGUCGCGUGAGGGAUGACGGUCCUAUGGAUUGUAAACCUCUUUUGUCAGGGAGCAAAGGGCGCCACGUGUGGCGUUUUGCGAGUACCUGAAGAAAAAGCAUCGGCUAACUCCGUGCCAGCAGCCGCGGUAAUACGGAGGAUGCGAGCGUUAAUCGGAAUUACUGGGCGUAAAGCGCGCGUAGGCUGUUGUGUAAGUUGGGGGUGAAAUCCCACGGCUCAACCGUGGAACAGCCCUUGAUACUGCG
Molecule: ribosomal RNA, 305 nt
Filed under: uncultured bacterium
Lineage: Bacteria
Description: bacterial SSU rRNA
Rfam family: Bacterial small subunit ribosomal RNA
Source: RNAcentral